This 1180-nucleotide long non-coding RNA is filed under the name Rattus norvegicus (Norway rat). RNAcentral's name for it is "long non-coding RNA NONRATT023035". Lineage: Eukaryota; Metazoa; Chordata; Mammalia; Rodentia; Muridae. The record is from RNAcentral.
ACUCUAGCUGUUACCCCUGUCCUUUCAUUUCCCUGGUGACUCUUGCUGCCUUAACUGGUAACUGGUGUUGUCAUUUUACAGACUGUAGCUUCACAGAAAGCUACCUGCGUAAAGCUACAAUGACUGGAGAACUCUGUCCUGGUCAUACAGAUCUCAGAAAUUGGUUCCAUUGUCUGCUGGUUGUUCCAGAGAAAAAUGACUGAUCCUGAACUGUCCUGGAAAAGACCUUGACACUUUCGCUGCUAUUGUAGCAGCCAUUACUGCUGCAGACAUUGUGUCUGCAGUGUCUGGAGUUAUCCUCCCCCAAUCUAUUGUUAGACAAGUACAGUGGGUGAACUUUCUGGAGUAGUUACUAACAAUUGGAAAUUCUAAAUUUCAUUAUAGGAGUGGCUUGACCACGGCCCUUGGUGGCAACAGCUGAGGAGGACCAUAUGAGGUGCCCACUACUUAUCGGGAGUGGCUCUGUCUGAUGCAGCCCUAUGCUGUGGAUCAGUGUUCAUACUAUGGUUGGUUUACAAACUCAGAUCUCAACAGUAACAUGACAAGGCCGUUAUCACUCAAGCACUUGCAGCCAUUUGAACAAAGGGCCUCACCUGGAAUUUGGUCAUCUUGUUCAGGAUUUACUCUGUAUUUGAGUUCCCUGCUCCUGCACCCCAUGGACCUGUGGGUCCAUUGCACUGGGAGGAGAGGGAUACUCUCUGUAUCUGAGUUCUCUGCUCCUGCACCCCAUGGAUCUGUGGAUCCAUUGCACUGGGAUUGAGAGAGACUCAGUGUUCCUUUGAUCAGCCAUUGCACAUCGCUGAGGUUUCCUCAUUGCACGCAAUAGGGUGAUCAUUUCUGCUAUAAAAUUAUAAUUAUAAGGGUGAGAUGUAGAGGGCCGCAAUAACAUGCGCGACCAUUAGAUGGCGCUGGCUUCCACUGCGCCCCACGUGGAAGGCCAAGUCAGUCAAGAUGGCGCCAGCCUUUGCUGCGCCAGCUGGCCCCCCUAUCAGGAAGUUAACUGUGCGCAUGUGCAAGAGUGCCUUCCUGCCAGGUCUUUGCCCAUUCCAGGGCGUGCCUGAUGAGAUCAUGAGUAAACAACCAAUCAGGCGUGGAUGCGUGCCCGAGGGUUAAAUAGGCACGCCUGGCUGGCGCGCGGGGCUUCUCCAUGAGAUAGGAAUAAAGUAUCACUCAUAGCAAG